GACGAACGCUGGCGGCGUGCUUAACACAUGCAAGUCGAACGCUGAAGCUUGGUGCUUGCACUGGGUGGAUGAGUGGCGAACGGGUGAGUAAUACGUGAGUCACCUGCCCUUGACUCUGGGAUAAGCCUGGGAAACUGGGUCUACUACUGGAUCUGACAUGCCACUGCAUGGUGGUGUGUGGAAAGGGUUUUACUGGUUUUGGAUGGGCGCAUGGCCUAUCAGCUUGUUGGUGGGGUAAUGGCCUACCAAGGCGACGACUGGUAGCCGGCCUGAGAGGGUGACCAGCCACACUGGGACUGAGAGACGGCCCAGACUCCUACGGUGGGCAGCAGUGGGGAGUAUUGCACAAUGGGCGGAAGCCUGAUACGGCGACGCCGCGUGAGGAAUGACGGCCUUCGGGUUAUGAACCUCUUUCAGCUCAGAAGAAGCGGUAGUGACGGUACGUGCAGAAGAAGCGCCGGCUAACUACGUG
Molecule: ribosomal RNA, 472 nt
Filed under: uncultured bacterium
Lineage: Bacteria
Description: partial 16S ribosomal RNA
Rfam family: Bacterial small subunit ribosomal RNA
Source: RNAcentral